Molecule: ribosomal RNA, 452 nt
Filed under: uncultured bacterium
Lineage: Bacteria
Description: bacterial SSU rRNA
Rfam family: Bacterial small subunit ribosomal RNA
Source: RNAcentral
AUUGAACGCUGGCGGCAUGCUUUACACAUGCAAGUCGAACGGUAACAGGCCGCAAGGUGCUGACGAGUGGCGAACGGGUGAGUAAUGCAUCGGAACGUGCCCAGUCGUGGGGGAUAACGCAGCGAAAGCUGCGCUAAUACCGCAUACGAUCUAUGGAUGAAAGCGGGGGACCGUAAGGCCUCGCGCGAUUGGAGCGGCCGAUGUCAGAUUAGGUAGUUGGUGGGGUAAAGGCUCACCAAGCCGACGAUCUGUAGCUGGUCUGAGAGGACGACCAGCCACACUGGAACUGAGACACGGUCCAGACUCCUACGGGAGGCAGCAGUGGGGAAUUUUGGACAAUGGGCGCAAGCCUGAUCCAGCAAUGCCGCGUGCAGGAAGAAGGCCUUCGGGUUGUAAACUGCUUUUGUACGGAACGAAACGGCGAGCUCUAAUACAGUUUGCUAAUGACGGUA